CGGAGGACUCUGGGGACAGGAAGGUCCUGGGAGCUGUGCUGGCCGGGCCCAGAUUGAUGCCCACGUCCCUGGGCCACCAACUUGGCCUCCACGGUCCCAGCCCAGCCUCAGCCUUUCUCCCUGUGCAUGUCUGAAGAGCAGGAACAGCGGGCAGGAUCAGCGGCCAUCCGGUCCCCCUGACCACCCCCGGACAGGAGCCACAUGGCCUGGAGGAUCCACUUCCCACUCCUGCUGCUGCUGCUGCUCCCAGGUGAGGGGGGUGGGGCAGCUGGGACUGUGACAGGAGAGCCGGGCUGGGUGGCGCGGUGGCACUCGGCCUUGCUCCCCAGGCUCCUGGGUGCUCUCAGACAGGCAGAUACUUCAAAGAGUGGUGGGAGAGACGCUGUCGGUGACGUGUAACUACCCAUCUCCCGGCGAGACCUACAAGGAGAAGAGCUUAUGUCGGGAGGUGGCAGGAUUCGUGUGCGCUAAGUUGGCCCCCAGCCCCAUGGCCCAGGGCCGGGCCCCACGGCUGUCCAUCUGGGACGAGCCUCAAGCCGGCCUGUUCAUCGUCUCCCUGGCUGAGCUCCGGGAGAAGGACUCUGGGCACUACUGGUGCUCCAUGCGCCACACCUCCAGCAACACUGUCUUCAACUCUGACAAGUUCUACUUGGCUGUGUCGCCAGCCCCCACACAGCCCUCCAAAGCUGCCUGCAAGCCCACCUCCUCGAAGACCUGGAGCUCUGUGUCCCCAACAGGAAGAAGCACCGAGACCCCUUGGGCUCCAUCUGCCUUCACCACGCCAGCGUGGCCUCAGAAUGCCACCCUCUGCCCUGGCCCUGCGGUCCCCUGUGCCCUGGUCCCUGGGUUCUGCGGACUCCUUGUCGCCAAGAGCCUGGCACUGUUGGCCCUGCUGUGGGUCUUGAGGGGCAGAUGUGUACGGUAUAGAUGGGGGUCCUGGGAGCAGCCGGCCCCAGCCCCAGGCCCACAGGGCUCCCCUGAGCCACAGGACCUGAAGCAGAAGCCCAGGGUCCCCCAGACCUGGGCCAACAGGAGCUGCUCCCUGACCUCUCGACCCUUCAGUCCAGCAAAGACAAGGCCAGAGCUCGGCUGCACCUCUCGAGCCAAACCUGAGGGUCCCCCUCAAGACCAACCACCUGCCCGUACCAGUCUGCAUCCAAGCCAGCACCGUCUUCUGAUGGGAGCAAAGCCCAGUGUGACAUCUCAGCACCCCCGAGGCCCUGGGGACCAUUCUCCCCCACCACCUCUGAGACCGGAAGUAGCUGAAGGAAAAGUGGGCGCCUCAGCCAUCAACACCUUCUGAGUUCAACACUAGCCCAGGGCUGGGAUGCCUGGGUCUAAACACGAUGGGAGACAGGAACCAGUUAACUCAUCUGAUGUACAAUAAGAACCAGGUGGCCUUCGGCAACCCUUGGCGACUCCUAAUUACCAUAUCAUUGACUAUGCAGAUUUGACCCCACCCCUGAGGGCUCUGGACACCAUGACAGUUCCACCAGGGGCAGUAAAAGGUCAAAAAUUCCACCUCCCAGCAGAGGGGCCAAGCCAAACCCCUCACUGGCAGGAGUCAAACAGCAGACCAAAGCCUCAAUCCCACCCCAAACCCUCAGCACCAAACUCUUCUCCUUGGCUGUUUCUGCCCAGUGGAGCAGACUUUCACUUUCAAAUAAACCUUUGAUUCUGCCA
This is a long non-coding RNA of Fukomys damarensis (Damara mole-rat), 1683 nucleotides long. NCBI's taxonomy places the organism in Eukaryota, Metazoa, Chordata, Mammalia, Rodentia, Bathyergidae. The record is from Ensembl.